This 460-nucleotide ribosomal RNA is filed under the name uncultured bacterium. Its description in RNAcentral is "partial 16S ribosomal RNA". It matches the Rfam family "Bacterial small subunit ribosomal RNA", at positions 338 to 795 of the family's 1533-position model. The record is from RNAcentral.
CCUACGGGAGGCAGCAGUGAGGAAUAUUGGUCAAUGGACGAGAGUCUGAACCAGCCAAGUAGCGUGAAGGAUGACUGCCCUAUGGGUUGUAAACUUCUUUUAUAUGGGAAUAAAAUGUUCCACGUGUGGGAUUUUGUAUGUACCAUAUGAAUAAGGAUCGGCUAACUCCGUGCCAGCAGCCGCGGUAAUACGGAGGAUCCGAGCGUUAUCCGGAUUUAUUGGGUUUAAAGGGAGCGUAGUUGGAUUGAUAAGUCAGUUGUGAAAGUUUGCGGCUCAACCGUAAAAUUGCAGUUGAAACUGGCAGUCUUGAGUACAGUAGAGGUGGGCGGAAUUCGUGGUGUAGCGGUGAAAUGCUUAGAUAUCACGAAGAACUCCGAUUGCGAAGGCAGUUCACUGGACUGCAACUGACACUGAGGCUCGAAAGUGUGGGUAUCAAACAGGAUUAGAUACCCUUGUAGUA